This is a non-coding RNA of Trichonephila clavipes, 77 nucleotides long. The record is from the annotation of a GenBank genome assembly. Lineage: Eukaryota; Metazoa; Arthropoda; Arachnida; Araneae; Nephilidae.
GACUCGGUGGCGCGCGCACCUGGUAGCGCGUCUGACUCCAUAUCAGAAGGUUGCGUGUUCGAAUCACGUCCGGGUCA